UACGUAGGGUGCAAGCGUUGUCCGGAAUUAUUGGGCGUAAAGAGCUCGUAGGUGGCCUGUCGCGUCGGCUGUGAAAACUCGGGGCUCAACUCCGAGCUUGCAGUCGAUACGGGCAGGCUAGAGUUCGGCAGGGGAGACUGGAAUUCCUGGUGUAGCGGUGAAAUGCGCAGAUAUCAGGAGGAACACCGGUGGCGAAGGCGGGUCUCUGGGCCGAUACUGACACUGAGGAGCGGAAGCGUGGGGAGCGAACAGG
RNAcentral lists this ribosomal RNA (253 nucleotides) under uncultured bacterium. RNAcentral describes it as "partial 16S ribosomal RNA". It matches the Rfam family "Bacterial small subunit ribosomal RNA", at positions 524 to 776 of the family's 1533-position model. The record is from RNAcentral.